This 165-nucleotide small nuclear RNA is filed under the name Carlito syrichta (Philippine tarsier). RNAcentral describes it as "U1 spliceosomal RNA (ENSTSYG00000036128.1)". It matches the Rfam family "U1 spliceosomal RNA". From Rfam's summary of the family: U1 is a small nuclear RNA (snRNA) component of the spliceosome (involved in pre-mRNA splicing). Lineage: Eukaryota; Metazoa; Chordata; Mammalia; Primates; Tarsiidae. The record is from Rfam by way of RNAcentral.
AUACUUACCUGGCAGAGGAGAUACCAUAAUCACCAAUGUGGGUUUUCCCAGAGUGAGGCUUAUCCAUUGCACUCUAGAUGUGCUGACCCCUGUGGUUUCCCCAAAUGUGGGAAACUCGACUGCACAGUUUAUGGUAGUGGGGAACUGUGUUUGCGCUCUCCCCUA